GGGAGCGGAUGCGUGCCUGGUGGCUGUCGCGGACUUCAAAUCCGUUGCGGCGUAGCGAGAGUUGCGCUGGGUGGGUUCGAUUCCCACACGUUCCCGCCA
This 99-nucleotide transfer RNA is filed under the name Dehalococcoidia bacterium. RNAcentral describes it as "tRNA-Sec". It matches the Rfam family "Selenocysteine transfer RNA". Lineage: Bacteria; Bacillati; Chloroflexota; Dehalococcoidia. RNAcentral also lists the same sequence under 2 other names. The record is from RNAcentral.